This 70-nucleotide transfer RNA is filed under the name Scarabaeidae sp. BMNH 1274750. RNAcentral's name for it is "tRNA-Leu". Lineage: Eukaryota; Metazoa; Arthropoda; Insecta; Coleoptera; Scarabaeidae. The record is from RNAcentral.
AUUACUUUGGCAGAAUAGUGCAUUAAAUUUAGAAUUUAAAUAUAUAUAUUAUUAGAUAAUAUAAGUAAUA